This is a long non-coding RNA of Poecilia latipinna (sailfin molly), 750 nucleotides long. RefSeq lists it as uncharacterized. The record is from RefSeq and is a predicted model, not a curated record. The transcript has 4 exons. Lineage: Eukaryota; Metazoa; Chordata; Actinopteri; Cyprinodontiformes; Poeciliidae.
UUUAUGUGAUUGAUCCUCUAAGUUCAGCUCAGUGGCUCCAUCUAGUGGACAAUCAGAGGAGCAGCAGCUUGUUCUGCCAGGAUUUAACUGAUAAUGAAGCAGAGAAGGAGAGCCAAUCAGAGCAGCUGAUAUUAACGAUGUCAAUAUUAAUGAUUAUAGUAAAUAGAUGAAUAACUGAAGUGUUUCCUCCUCAGAUGAAGGAAGAAGGUGAGUGAACUGAUCUGAACUCGGCAGCUUGGAGCAGAGAGAGGACAAGGAGGACGGAGUCUGUCCCUCUGAAUCCACUGAAAAGGAGGACGGAGUCUGUCCCUCUGAAUCCACUGAAAAGGACGGAGUCUGUCCCUCUGAAUCCACUGAAAAGGAGGACGGAGUCUGUCCCUCUGGAUCCUCUGUCAGACGCCAACAUGAGGACCAGGUCAAAGUUCAGAGGAAACCAGAACCAGAAUCAUCAUCAACAGAAUCAGAGGCAGAAUCUGGUUACAGCAGUUUGUCCUUCAGGUCAAAGGAUUUGAUUAUUGAUUUUAAAUCAGGCCAACUUUCAGCUGUAAGGAGUCCUGUAGGACCAGACUCUCCUUUAUCUGCCCAUAGUUAUCCAUCCUGUGGGAGCAACAGGUCAACAGACACCGACCUGGACUUUAAUAAUCAGCAUCCAACUCCACCUGAGAGUUAUAGAAGGACCUAUGAGGAGCUCCUCCAACACCAGCAGGAGGUGAUACGCCGCCAGGAGGUUCAACUACGCCGCCAGGAGNA